AAUUUACACAAUGGCUUGCAUCCAUAUUUCCUAUUCCCUUUUGCAUAAACUAGACAGGAACUUUCAUGCUUUUCUAUGGGGACACUCCCCGGAUCGUCAUGGUCUUUAUCUAAUUUCUUGAUCUGCAGUUUGUUCCCCUAAAUCUUAGGGAUGGUUGGGCCUUCAAUCUUUACAUCUAAAGCAACAAUUUAAUUCUGAUGAAAAAGUUAGCUGCAGAACUAAUUUUGCAGCCGCAUUCUCUCUGGGGCUAGCUAAGUGGUGCCAAGUAUAGGUUUCAAGGUACAUGGUGAAAUUAUUUUCCUCCACAUACAAGUUCUUCUAUUUGGAAAUAGAUUUCUACUCAUGGCUCUUCAAUCUCUUAUCAGUUUCAAUGGGCUUUGACUGAUGGUACCCGUGUUAAUAUUUUGUUCAAUACAUGGAUCUCUAGCCUUUCUCUCUAUGCUUGGGUGGAUCUACAGGCUGUUUACGUAGCAACCUUCAUUCAGCUAGAUAGGACAUGGAACCUACAUGUUCUCUCGCAAGUGUUCCAGACUGAAAUGAUGUUCAUUAUUAAAAAUAUUCCCAUUUCUCAUGGGUGAGGAUCUAAUCAGUGCAAUAUUCCCGUUUGCUUGCUCCUUUUGGCCAGCAAUAGCUAGGGUAUUGCAAUAUCACCUCUCUUUCUGUUCUUUGCUGGCAUUAGUGUCUGCUCUUCUCUUAUCGAUGUCUUGGUAUAGAAUAGGAUUAAGGUUGUAAUCGCAUAUACUCUUUGGUUGCUCUGGUUAGCAAGGAAUCAGCGUGUGUUUGAAGGCAGCCAUACUUCUUUCUGCAAGACAUAUUUCAGGAUAAUAUUAUUUCUCAUGUUCCACGGUCAGCUUUAAUUCAUCCAAGGUAUUGGGAUAGCUCAUUAUCAUCAUCUUCUUCUUUUAUUUCUUCGAAUUUUGUUAGGUGGCUUCCCUUACCCCUUGGAGCAGUUAAAAUUAACUAUGGUGGAUCGGUUCAAAACCAUAGGGCAGCCGCGGCUCAUUUCAUUAGAAAUGCUGAUGGCCCUCAAGGCUGCAGAAAUAAGAUUAAAUUACUUCAGUACCUUUUGCUGAGCUGAUUGAUGCUUGAAUUUUUUUUAAAAUAAUAUUUUUUAAUAUCUAUUUUCGAAAGUAUGGUUACUUUAAAGUUAUUUACGGAUCUACGGUUGUUUUGGCCAGUAGGAUGCCACAUAGGAAAUCGCAGGUUCUGCCUGUGAUUUUUUGGUCCAUGUGGCAUCGGAUACAUGGUAGUGUACUUAAUGAAAUCUUAGAUUGAAGAUGAGACUUCAAUUAGAAGUCUCACUUUCAACAUGAGAUUUCUCAACCAUGCUCCAUUUACCUUUCUUCGAUUGUCCUCACCAGUUGCUCGUGGCCCACCCAGCUUUCCUCCUUCCUUCUCGUGGUCCCCCAUUAUUUCUUCCUGUUUGCUGGCCGCCCACCCUCUCUUCAUCUAUUAGUGGUCUCCCCUCCCUUCGCCCCUCAUUAGGUGGCCCCCAACCCAUUUCUCCACCCUUUUCGUGGCCUCCCAUGCAUUUUUCGUGAUUUCUUCUAUUCUGUAAGUAUUAUUUUGAUAAAUUUUCUUUCUUUAUUUAAAUACUAUUUAUUUUAUACCGUAUUUUAAUUUUUGUUGAAAUGUUGUUAUGAUUAGUAGAUAAGAUAAUUAGAUUAAUUUUUGUGCACACAAGAAAUAAGAUUUUGAUAGAUCCAAGUUGUUUUACAUGGUUAAAUUUAGUUUUCUAGUUAUAUAUGUUAAUUAUAUUUUGUUUAUAGGAUGCCUGAUUUAUUGUAUUGAUUAAACAGGUCGUGAAAAAUGGGAGAAACCGUCAGGCUCUAUGUUAUAUUAAUGGUUCUAUAGUUGACAAGCCAUAUGGCAUUGAAUACAGUCAGGGACCACAAAAGGCUAUUAGAAUGAAAUAUGAAAUGAAAUAUGAAGAGUUAGAGGAUAAGCUAUAUAAAGUGUUUUGUAUUGAUAGAAGAAGGAAUAAAAUAGUGAUAACAUAUAGAUAUCUAUAAGUUGUGCAGUCAACAAUGUUAAAUCAUGUACCAGUUCUGAUUAUCGAAGAUGAGGAUAUGGAGAUAAUUUUUUCAACUGUGAGUUCGCAUCCAUGUCUAUCAUCCCACCAUCUGGUAAACUUCAGGGGUCGCAAUUGAGCAUGACUUGGCUAGUGGAGCAGUUCAGUGAGUUAUCACCUAAUGCCGAUCAAGUGAUGAUACCACAUUAUGCUAGGACAUACAUUUUGCAGCUCACGGGUGGAUGUUUGUUCCCUGACAAGUCAGGCAGCCAUAUGCAUCUUAUGUUUCUUCCAUUAUUUGAGGAUUUUGAGUUUGCGGGACAUUACAGCUGGGACAGUGUAGGCCGUGCAUGAUUGCACAGGGAGUUAUGCAAGACAAGCAGAUUAGAUGCACAUGAGAUUGCCAGGCCACUUAUACUACUAUAGCUAUGGGCUUGGGAUAGGUUUCCCAUUUCAGCAUCUCGCAGAUUAGGCCAGCCUAUUGUAGAUCCUUUGAUAGAUUUACAUGAUGGUGGGGAUCCAUUGUCACGGGGUCCAUUGGGGAUAAGAUGGAGAGAUGCUUUUUCGGUGAUGGAGGUAUCGACACAUGUGCUCAGUUCUUACCGAUACUACCUCAAUCGAUAGAGACCAAAGCAUGUGAUAUGGCAGCCAUAUACUCAUGACAUUAUGGCUAGGCUACUUGACUAUUGUUUAGAUGGGCAGGAUAUAUGGUGUACCCAAGUACCACUCAUUUAUUUUCAUAUCGUAGAGUGGUACUUUACUGAUAGAGUGCUGCGACAGUUUGGGAUUCGCUAGCUUGUUCCUGUGUAGUGUGACACAGAUGUGAGACUAUACCACAUGGACUUGAGAGGAGUGACGGCAUGGCGAGGAUAUAUUAGCUUGCUCAUCCUGAUUCUAUAUCCACGACCUCGCAGCCGAUCAUGGACAUUUGCAACACCAUCCUCCAUGCUGUCGAUGAGCAUACUCGUCUUCAGAUAGGUGUCUUCGCUCAUGACUUUGGCACAGAGGAUGAGACUCCUUCACCGUUUGCAUAUCCAUCGUCGUCAGUAGCACCUCCAGUUUGGCAGAGAUGUGGUAUUCAAUGGCAUAGUACCUCUCCACAUCUAAUGCCAGAGUUUUCUUCGUUCACAUAGUACACACUACCGCCACUCGCAUUGACGAUGAUGUGACACAGUUCACAUAUACUGAUGGUGUUUCUACGCAUUUUGCAUAUGAAGCGGAUGACAUGAUCCACCAUAAAUACUCAUAUGAUAGAGAAUAUUCAGCCGAGGGAGUCACCCAGGAGGCCAUCACUCAGGAGGCUAUCACUUAGGAGGCUGUCACCCGAGUAGAGCAUCGAACAGUGGACCAGGAGGGGCCGACUCAGCCCACCAUUACGUAUUGUAUGAGGCAACCUAAACAGAGAAAGAGACGGCCACCAUGUGGGACUUAGGAUAUAUAUUUUAGGAUUCUCUUUAUGUAGUACAUUCAUGUGUUUAUCUUAUUUUAUAUUUACUUUCUAUCAUGGUUUGUAUGGAACAUCUUUGCAUUAAUCUAGCUUAUUUUGUAUUCAC
Elaeis guineensis (African oil palm) is the source of this 3564-nucleotide non-coding RNA. NCBI's taxonomy places the organism in Eukaryota, Viridiplantae, Streptophyta, Magnoliopsida, Arecales, Arecaceae. The record is from RefSeq and is a predicted model, not a curated record.